RNAcentral lists this ribosomal RNA (446 nucleotides) under uncultured bacterium. RNAcentral's name for it is "partial 16S ribosomal RNA". It matches the Rfam family "Bacterial small subunit ribosomal RNA", at positions 338 to 795 of the family's 1533-position model. The record is from RNAcentral.
CCUACGGGUGGCAGCAGUAGGGAAUUUUCGGCAAUGGGGGGAACCCUGACCGAGCAACGCCGCGUGAACGAAGAAGUUAUUCGUAAUGUAAAGUUCUUUUAACAGGGAAGAAAGAGAAAUUUGACGGUACCUGAAGAAUAAGCUCCGGCUAACUACGUGCCAGCAGCCGCGGUCAUACGUAGGGCGCGAGCGUUAUCCGGAAUUAUUGGGCGAAAAGGGUGCGUAGAGGGCAUAGUAAGUCUUUUGUAAAAAUGCUGGGCUCAACCCAGUAGGGCAAAAGAUACUGCAAAGCUAGAGUAUGACAGAGGCAAGUGGAACUACAUGUGUAGCGGUAAAAUGCGUAAAUAUAUGUAAGAACACCAGUGGCGAAGGCGGCUUGCUGGGUCGAUACUGACAUUGAGGCACGAAAGCGUGGGGAGCAAACAGGAUUAGAUACCCGAGUAGUC